RNAcentral lists this ribosomal RNA (253 nucleotides) under uncultured bacterium. RNAcentral describes it as "partial 16S ribosomal RNA". It matches the Rfam family "Bacterial small subunit ribosomal RNA", at positions 524 to 776 of the family's 1533-position model. The record is from RNAcentral.
UACAGAGGGUGCGAGCGUUGUCCGGAAUCACUGGGCGUAAAGGGCGCGUAGGCGGCUUGGUAAGCGUGCGGUGAAAGCCCGGGGCUCAACCCCGGGUCGGCCGUGCGAACUGUCGAGCUGGAGCACUGUAGAGGCAGGUGGAAUUCCGGGUGUAGCGGUGGAAUGCGUAGAGAUCCGGAAGAACACCGGUGGCGAAGGCGGCCUGCUGGGCAGUGGCUGACGCUGAGGCGCGACAGCGUGGGGAGCAAACAGG